AUUCCAUUUUUAAGAUUUGUUUUAUUAGUUUAUUUUUUAUAUUAAUUUUCAGAUAUUUUAAUAAUGGAAUUUAUAUGUUUUGAUGUAUUAUUUUUAAAUAUAUUUUUAACGUAUAAAUGGGAGAGUGAGAGUUGCAGAGAGCGUUUGGAGGAGGAGCGUUUCAAAAGCUUUGGUGGGGGUGGGGNUGGGAAUACGAAGGAGAGGAAUUUGAGUCUGUGUGUUUUGACUGAGACAGACUGUAAAAGAGUAGGUUAACUUUAGUAAAUAGGUGUAAAACGGUAAAAAUAAAAAAAACAUAAAGAUUAAUUUUGUAUUUAAAAAAAAAUCCAAAAAAAUUGGGAGGG
This 344-nucleotide long non-coding RNA is filed under the name Vigna radiata. Its description in RNAcentral is "long non-coding RNA (VRAD_LNC002743)". The record is from RNAcentral. Lineage: Eukaryota; Viridiplantae; Streptophyta; Magnoliopsida; Fabales; Fabaceae.